AUGUGGAUGGAAGUCUUGAGGAGUGGGAGGGUAGGAGAAGGCUCUGUGGUGAGGUUUCAGUCAUAAUCUCAUCAGUCUUCCCUAUUCCUCCCAUUCCUAUUGCCUCCCUUCACAAUGUAAC
Molecule: microRNA precursor, 121 nt
Filed under: Pinus densata
Lineage: Eukaryota; Viridiplantae; Streptophyta; Pinopsida; Pinales; Pinaceae
Description: miR482b stem-loop (pde-MIR482b)
Gene: pde-MIR482b
Source: miRBase by way of RNAcentral